This 484-nucleotide ribosomal RNA is filed under the name uncultured bacterium. RNAcentral's name for it is "partial 16S ribosomal RNA". It matches the Rfam family "Bacterial small subunit ribosomal RNA", at positions 28 to 507 of the family's 1533-position model. The record is from RNAcentral.
AUUGAACGCUGGCGGCAUGCUUUACCCAUGCAAGUCGAACGGCGGCGCGGGCUUCGGCCUGGCGGCGAGUGGCGAAGGGGUGGGUAAUGCAUCGGAACGGGCCCAGUAGUGGGGGAUAGCCCGCCGAAAGCCGGAUUAAUACCGCAUACGACCUGAGGGUGAAAGCGGGGGACCGAAAGGCCUCGCGCUAUUGGAGCGGCCGAUGUCGGAUUAGCUAGUUGGUGGGGUAAAGGCUUACCAAGGCGACGAUCCGUAGCUGGUCUGAGAGGACGACCAGCCACACUGGGACUGAGACACGGCCCAGACUCCUACGGGAGGCAGCAGUGGGGAAUUUUGGACAAUGGGGGCAACCCUGAUCCAGCCAUGCCGCGUGCGGGAAGAAGGCCUUCGGGUUGUAAACCGCUUUUGUUCGGGAAGAAAUCCUCUGGGCUAAUACCCCGGGGGGAUGACGGUACCGGAAGAAUAAGCACCGGCUAACUACGUG